GACGAACGCUGGCGGCGUGCUUAACACAUGCAAGUCGAACGGAAAGGCCCUGCUUUUGUGGGGUGCUCGAGUGGCGAACGGGUGAGUAACACGUGAGUAACCUGCCCUUGACUUUGGGAUAACUUCAGGAAACUGGGGCUAAUACCGGAUAGGAGCUCCUGCUGCAUGGUGGGGGUUGGAAAGUUUCGGCGGUUGGGGAUGGACUCGCGGCUUAUCAGCUUGUUGGUGGGGUAGUGGCUUACCAAGGCUUUGACGGGUAGCCGGCCUGAGAGGGUGACCGGCCACAUUGGGACUGAGAUACGGCCCAGACUCCUACGGGAGGCAGCAGUGGGGAAUACUGCACAAUGGGCGGAAGCCUGAUGCAGCAACGCCGCGUGCGGGAUGACGGCCUUCGGGUUGUAAACCGCUUUCGCCUGUGACGAAGCGUGAGUGACGGUAAUGGGUAAAGAAGCACCGGCUAACUACGUGCCAGCAGCCGCGGUGAUACGUAGGGUGCGAGCGUUGUCCGGAUUUAUUGGGCGUAAAGGGCUCGUAGGUGGUUGAUCGCGUCGGAAGUGUAAUCUUGGGGCUUAACCCUGAGCGUGCUUUCGAUACGGGUUGACUUGAGGAAGGUAGGGGAGAAUGGAAUUCCUGGUGGAGCGGUGGAAUGCGCAGAUAUCAGGAGGAACACCAGUGGCGAAGGCGGUUCUCUGGGCCUUUCCUGACGCUGAGGAGCGAAAGCGUGGGGAGCGAACAGGCUUAGAUACCCUGGUAGUCCACGCUGUAAACGGUGGGUACUAGGUGUGGGGUCCAUUCCACGGGUUCCGUGCCGUAGCUAACGCUUUAAGUACCCCGCCUGGGGAGUACGGCCGCAAGGCUAAAACUCAAAGGAAUUGACGGGGCCCCGCACAAGCGGCGGAGCAUGCGGAUUAAUUCGAUGCAACGCGUAGAACCUUACCUGGGUUUGACAUGGAUCGGGAGCGCUCAGAGAUGGGUGUGCCUCUUUUGGGGUCGGUUCACAGGUGGUGCAUGGCUGUCGUCAGCUCGUGUCGUGAGAUGUUGGGUUAAGUCCCGCAACGAGCGCAACCCUUGUUCACUGUUGCCAGCACGUUAUGGUGGGGACUCAGUGGAGACCGCCGGGGUCAACUCGGAGGAAGGUGGGGAUGACGUCAAGUCAUCAUGCCCCUUAUGUCCAGGGCUUCACGCAUGCUACAAUGGCUGGUACAGAGAGUGGCGAGCCUGUGAGGAUGAGCGAAUCUCGGAAAGCCGGUCUCAGUUCGGAUUGGGGUCUGCAACUCGACCUCAUGAAGUCGGAGUCGCUAGUAAUCGCAGAUCAGCAACGCUGCGGUGAAUACGUUCCCGGG
This 1343-nucleotide ribosomal RNA is filed under the name uncultured bacterium. Its description in RNAcentral is "16S ribosomal RNA". It matches the Rfam family "Bacterial small subunit ribosomal RNA", at positions 28 to 1378 of the family's 1533-position model. The record is from RNAcentral.